RNAcentral lists this ribosomal RNA (497 nucleotides) under uncultured bacterium. RNAcentral describes it as "partial 16S ribosomal RNA". It matches the Rfam family "Bacterial small subunit ribosomal RNA", at positions 28 to 507 of the family's 1533-position model. The record is from RNAcentral.
GACGAACGCUGGCGGCGUGCCUAAUACAUGCAAGUAGAACGCUGAAGAGAGGAGCUUGCUCUUCUUGGAUGAGUUGCGAACGGGUGAGUAACGCGUAGGUAACCUGCCUUGUAGCGGGGGAUAACUAUUGGAAACGAUAGCUAAUACCGCAUAACAAUUGAAGACACAUGUCAUUAAUUUGAAAGGCGCAAUUGCUCCACUACAAGAUGGACCUGCGUUGUAUUAGCUAGUAGGUGAGGUAAUGGGCCACCUAGGCGACGAUACCUAGCCGGCCUGGGGGGGUGAUCGGCCGACCUGGGACUGAGACACGGUCCAGGCUCCUACGGGAGGCAGCAGUAGGGAAACUUCGGCAAUGGGGGCAACCCCUACCGGGCAACGGCGCGGGAGGGAAUGAGGUUUUCGGAUCGUAAAGCUCUGGUGUAAGUCAAGAACGAGUGUGGGAGUGGAAAGUGCACACUGUGACGGUAGCUUACCAGAAAGGGACGGCUAACUACGUG